GAUGAACGCUAGCGGGAGGCCUAACACAUGCAAGCCGAGCGGUAGAGAUUCUUCGGGAUCUUGAGAGCGGCGUACGGGUGCGGAACACGUGUGCAACCUGCCUUUAUCAGGGGGAUAGCCUUUCGAAAGGAAGAUUAAUACCCCAUAAUAUAUUGAUUGGCAUCAAUUAAUAUUGAAAACUCCGGUGGAUAGAGAUGGGCACGCGCAAGAUUAGAUAGUUGGUAGGGUAACGGCCUACCAAGUCAAUGAUCUUUAGGGGGCCUGAGAGGGUGAUCCCCCACACUGGUACUGAGACACGGACCAGACUCCUACGGGAGGCAGCAGUGAGGAAUAUUGGACAAUGGGUGAGAGCCUGAUCCAGCCAUCCCGCGUGAAGGACGACGGCCCUAUGGGUUGUAAACUUCUUUUGUAUAGGGAUAAACCUUUCCACGUGUGGAAAGUUGAAGGUACUAUACGAAUAAGCACCGGCUAACUCCGUGCCAGCCGCCGCAGUAA
Molecule: ribosomal RNA, 495 nt
Filed under: uncultured bacterium
Lineage: Bacteria
Description: partial 16S ribosomal RNA
Rfam family: Bacterial small subunit ribosomal RNA
Source: RNAcentral